This is a long non-coding RNA of Phascolarctos cinereus (koala), 3241 nucleotides long. RefSeq lists it as uncharacterized. The record is from RefSeq and is a predicted model, not a curated record. NCBI's taxonomy places the organism in Eukaryota, Metazoa, Chordata, Mammalia, Diprotodontia, Phascolarctidae.
GACAAGUAUUUUUAACCCUUUCCAGACAGAUAUGUACCUUGGAAGAUCUGUGGAAGAAAAUAUCUAAGUGCUGAAGAGUUAAAACCUGGAUAUUCCAAGUACAACUAUGUAUAUUUGGCAAAGUGCUACAAAGAUCUUGGACAAAAACAAAAUGCUUUGAUGUACUGUGAUUCUGCUUUGCUAAUUAGUUCUAAUAAUAAAAAGCUUUGGGGCCGAUCUGAUUAACAAGCCUUAAUCAAUCUGGGAGCAGGGUGUCCCCUAAAAAUUGAUGCCCAAAGCUACAGCCAAAAUGAGCCAUUCAGGACCAGGGUGCUUGUGGACUGUAUGUAGAAGAUAAUGCUCAUGAGAGUGGAUGACCUGGCCCGCUUAUCUUCAGUUACUUUUUUAAAGGAUUACCUUGUGGCUUACUUUUUUCAUUUUCUUCUUUCUGUCGUCGUUGAUUUUGCUGCAUUUGGGGGCACUUUUCUGAUUAUUCAAGGUGGUGAGGAGAGAGGUACAUCUUUGGUUAACUCCCACUUGAAUAUAUAUACUCAAAAUACAUAUUUUGUUUCUGUGAUUUGUUUUUUCACACAAUCAUUCAGGACACCAUUAUUUAGUCUACAUAUGAGUACAUAUCUAUUCCAUGUGUUCUUCGUAUCAAUUCUUUAUUAUUAUUAUAAUCUAGUAAGAGAUCUACUUAGUAUUUUUGCCUUUCCCCAUCUAUUUAUAAUUUCUUCAUGUCCUGGUCCAUACUCAAUUUUUAUGAAGAAAGCAUGCGAUGCUAAGACUUUUGCAUGUUCUUUAAUAUUCUUACUCAUCAGACAUCAUCUUUGAAAUCUAAAUUUCCCAAUAGUGGGUUAUUUUCUUUUUAUCUUUUUGUUAGGUUAAUCUGGCACUACAACUUCAUUAUCAUCUAUGCCUUUCUGCAAUUCAGUUAGUUUCAUCUUUAAGAACUUAGACACUUGUUAGACACUCCAUAUACUUAAUAUCAUAGUUUUGUCAUAUAUAGUGCCUUUAAGCAUUAUGUAGUUUGACAUUGUCAGUUUUUACCGUUAUCAUACCAGAAAUCAUGAUUUCAAUCCCCCCUCCCCUUUUUUGGAAUUAGCCUGAAGCAUAUUAUAUUUAAUUUUUUUUUUUGGUGUGUUUCAAAAUAUUUAGGAAAUUAUUGGGUUUUGUUCUUAUCCAUUCCUCCACUCCUUUUUCCUGGGGGAGGGGGAAUAGGAUUUAAGCCAUUCACAUCUAAUGUUAUAAGUGUUAGAUUUGUGUUUUUCUACCUUUAACUCAGGUGAAUGGGAGGGUGGGGUGGGGAGAGUUUUACAACCUUUUCUGCUCUUAAGUCAGCACUUGGUCUCCUUGAUUAGUUUUGUUUGUUAAUCUGACCAAUCUCCUGCCACAGACUUACCCAUCUCCUCCCUUCUCCAGUACUGUGCCCAGUCCCAAGUUCCUGAAUUUGGUUUUAUUUCUUCUUUUCCUUCUUCCCUUUCCCAGCUUGGAUGAGACUACAGUUUAGAAUGUUCUCUGAUAUGAACCUUCUGGGACCUCUGAAUUUGUCAUCCACCUUAUUCCCUUCCUAUUCGAGGAUAUUCUGAAAGGGAAUCUGAUUCUACAUACGGGCUUUAUAAUCAACUCUCAUAAGAGAUAAGGCUUCUGGAAAACAACAACCUUGCUCCCACUUUAGUCCAAUUCAUUUAUUAGUGCUAUUGUAGAUUUUAGCCACUCUGUUCUUCUCCAUUCCUUUUUAGUUUAUUUUGUUUUUCUGAAAAGCAUCCCUUUGCAAAGUCUGACUCCCAGAAAUGCUGCUUUAUGAAGGCAGCUUUGUGGUAUGGUAGAAGUUGCUCUAUAUCUCUUUUCAUAGGAUAUCUCAUUCUCUUCUUAAACCUUUACAGACUAGCUUCCAAUCUCAUUGAACCUAAAUUGUUCUCCCUGAAGUUACUAAUGAUCUCUUAAUUGCCAAUCAAAUGGCCUUUCCUCAAUCCUCAUUCUUCCUGAUCUCUCUGCAGCCCUUGGCACUGUUGAUCCCCCUCUGCUCCCAGAUACUCUCUAGGUUUUUGGAGUGCUACUGUCUCCUGGUUCUCCUAAUUAUUUGCCCCUUUCUCCUAGCGAUCUUUUCCUACUCCACCACAGGCCCCGAGACAGGGGGAAAGGCUGAAGAAAUCCCCUUUUCUUUCCAAGGUAAUGCUGAGGAUGCCUAUAUCACUUUGGUUCCCUCCCCUCUCUUCAUUCUCAUUUUCCCCUUGCCCCACCCCCAUUCCCACCGCACUCUGAUUUAUUUAUGAGGAAAAGUGGGUUUUAGUCCAAAUAAUACAAAUCCUUCUUCCUUCUCUCCUGCUAAUUCCUUAACCCCUUUGGUCAUUAGCCUCUUAGAUCCUUUUGCAGCUAGGUUUCUCUCCCUGACCCCCAACUAAGCAGAGAUUUAAAAAUAGCCUUCUUUCCCUAGAAGCCAUUGAACAAUGAUUUUGUUACUUUCUGUUUUCUGUAUUUAUUUACUUUCCUCAGUUUUCUCUUGAUGAAAUUAUUUGCUUGUCAAUCAUUUACUGUAUAACAUUUAUAUAUGUAGUUCUAUUAUUUUCUAGAUUGUUUGCUCCUUUCCCCUUGUUUCAAUGCAUUGAAUGUCUAUCUGCCUAGAGGCUGGCCUUAUUACACCCAACUUUUCUCUCCUAGCCUCCCUGCUUACCAUCCCUUUUCAUCUGUUCCAAAUAUAUUUUUAUCAGGACUCAUUAACUUGUUUGAUUCCUUUCUCCAUAUAAUGAAUGCUCCUUGCUUUUGUCUGCAUAACCAGAUCUACCAACUUGAGUUAAGUGCUAGGGGAUAGAAUCCAGGUGGAUAUCUGUCUUGAAGAAACUCCAUGGAAAGAGGACUAUAGCUGAGCUUAUACCACCCUCUUUUACACACCACACAAGUCCCUUCCCCUCUGAUUGGCUUUGUAUUUCUGAGUCUCUCCACCGUCUAGAGUAACCCAAUUUCUCUGCCACUGAGGCUGGAUGAGAUCUGAGUGAACUUUCAGGGGACAGAAGAGAUGCCACCAUAUCCCACACAGGAAAUUCAGGCCUAAUGAGAUGAUCACCCCAGGAGCAAGAGGGGCUCAGUGCUUUGAGGGGAAGUGGGUUCAUCAAUCUUCUGACGUCAUUUUAGAAGCCUUUACGUUGUAGGAAAGAGUUUCCUUCCCACUCUUUUUGUGGUAACUGAAAUUGCUUUCUGAGACAUAUUUGUAAUGGGGGUGAGGGUUCAAGGUAUGCUAAUAUAUAGAUUUCUCACUCUUGCA